Molecule: small RNA, 562 nt
Filed under: Arabidopsis thaliana (thale cress)
Lineage: Eukaryota; Viridiplantae; Streptophyta; Magnoliopsida; Brassicales; Brassicaceae
Description: ATSL093630
Source: RNAcentral
AAUUAAACCCAGGAGAGACUCUCCUUGCGUCUGAAACAGUCCAGAAACGGCCUGCAACAAAUCCACAACCAAAAGCAACCUUGAAGCAAACUGGACAGGAAAAACCAGAAACAAACCGUCUCAAAGACGAAACCCUAAAAUACAAGCUAACCGUUAACUAUUCAAUCUCUCCGGUGAAAUCCUAUCUGCAGACGUCACAAAGCUGCCCACAAAAUCUCGUGCCGAUCGGAAAACAGACGAGACCACGAUCUCAGUUUCAAUCUUUGCUGGUCCUAAUUCGCGUCUGAGAAAACGUGUCUCACGAAACUGCAAAUAACUCAACCAAUUUUAAUCCAAAUUCAAUUCUGUAAACUGGAGAAUAACGAUAAAGGACUUGGGAAUAACUCUACCAAAUAUCGUUACCUUUUACCACGAUUUGAUAUGACGAAACUGAUUUCUCCCAAACCCUAACGAUUUCUGCUCCUUCUCCUUUUCUCUCUUUUUCUCUUUUAUAAAACGAAAAGUGGCUAACUAAAGCACUAAUUUCGAGUUUCCUUCUUUUAUAGGCACACUUUAGGGUUUC